Long non-coding RNA from Mizuhopecten yessoensis (Yesso scallop), 385 nucleotides. RefSeq lists it as uncharacterized. The transcript is spliced from 3 exons. Lineage: Eukaryota; Metazoa; Mollusca; Bivalvia; Pectinida; Pectinidae. The record is from RefSeq and is a predicted model, not a curated record.
UUUAAAAUCGAAAGUAGACCAGAGCGCAUGCUCGAUUUGCGAAUUCUACUCCACGUUCGCUUCUGCUAUCACAAGAAUGAAAGUUGGGUAGUGAGUUUUCUUAUGAAUAGGUCAUAUUGAAGGCGUGUCAUCGAAAUAUACAUGUACUGACCAUGUUGCCCUGGGUGAGAUGUCUGCUAGUCCUUGUACUACUGGUCAUUCUUGGACCUUUCCCAAGUUACAUGUCCAGUGAUCCUGUUGCUGAAGGAGAUGACGGAUACAUUGAUCCCUUUGAUAUGGAAAAUUUCCAUCAUCCAUCCAAUCCAAGGCCUGUUCAGCAUCAACAAAAGGUAUUAUUGCUCUCUUUUAGGUUUGGGCUACUCACUUCAGGUAGGUUAUUAUAUUU